GGGGGACAGAGAAGAAGCAAAGGGGAAACGAGAAACUGAGGAAAGGGAGAAGAGGGAUCAGGGAAGCACCACGAAGAACAGAGAGACGUGCGCGAUCGAGGGAGAAGGUAGCAUUGCCACCGUGCCUCAUCAUCGUCGCUGAAGCUCUCGUUGCCACUAUCAACGCCAUUUAGGGCAGAGGAGAAGAGGAAGAAUGACGGAGAAAAGAGAUUGGAGCUGCUACAGGAACGGCGGUUCCUGCUUCUAACCUCUGCUCUUUUGAUUUCUGGAGCUACCGUGGGUGGAGCUUGUCA
This 293-nucleotide long non-coding RNA is filed under the name Arachis ipaensis. RNAcentral's name for it is "long non-coding RNA (AIPA_LNC001775)". Lineage: Eukaryota; Viridiplantae; Streptophyta; Magnoliopsida; Fabales; Fabaceae. The record is from RNAcentral.